RNAcentral lists this ribosomal RNA (433 nucleotides) under uncultured bacterium. Its description in RNAcentral is "partial 16S ribosomal RNA". It matches the Rfam family "Bacterial small subunit ribosomal RNA", at positions 29 to 507 of the family's 1533-position model. The record is from RNAcentral.
AACGAACGCUGGCGGCAUGCCUAACACAUGCAAGUCGAACGAUCCCUUCGGGGAUAGUGGCGCACGGGUGCGUAACGCGUGGGAACCUGCCCUUAGGUUCGGAAUAACUCAGAGAAAUUUGAGCUAAUACCGGAUAAUGUCUUCGGACCAAAGAUUUAUCGCCUUUGGAUGGGCCCGCGUUGGAUUAGCUAGUUGGUGGGGUAAAGGCCUACCAAGGCGACGAUCCAUAGCUGGUCUGAGAGGAUGAUCAGCCACACUGGGACUGAGACACGGCCCAGACUCCUACGGGAGGCAGCAGUGGGGAAUAUUGGACAAGGGGCGAAAGCCUGAUCCAGCAAUGCCGCGUGAGUGAUGAAGGCCUUAGGGUUGUAAAGCUCUUUUACCCGGGAUGAUAAUGACAGUACCGGGAGAAUAAGCCCCGGCUAACUCCGUG